UUCCAGACUCCUACGGGAGGCAGCAGUGGGGGAUAUUGCACAAUGGGGGGAACCCUGAUGCAGCGACGCCGCGUGGGUGAAGAAGCGCCUCGGCGCGUAAAGCCCUGUCAGCAGGGAAGAAAAUGACGGUACCUGAAGAAGAAGCCCCGGCUAACUACGUGCCGGCAGCCGCGGUAAUACGUAGGGGGCAAGCGUUAUCCGGAUUUACUGGGUGUAAAGGGAGCGUAGACGGCCAGACAAGUCUGAAGUGAAAAUCCAGCGCUUAACGUUGGAAGUGCUUUGGAAACUGCCGGGCUGGAGUGCAGGAGGGGCAGGCGGAAUUCCUAGUGUAGCGGUGAAAUGCGUAGAUAUUAGGAGGAACACCAGUGGCGAAGGCGGCCUGCUGGACUGCAACUGACGUUGAGGCUCGAAGGCGUGGGGAGCAAACAGGAUUAGAUACCCGAGUA
This 446-nucleotide ribosomal RNA is filed under the name uncultured bacterium. RNAcentral's name for it is "bacterial SSU rRNA". It matches the Rfam family "Bacterial small subunit ribosomal RNA", at positions 329 to 792 of the family's 1533-position model. The record is from RNAcentral.